AAGUUUUUCUGCGCCGUAAAUAUAACGGGGCUAAGCGUAUACCGAAGCUGCGGACUCCUCCGGGAGUGGUAGGGGAGCGUUCCAAUGGCUGUGAAGCAGGCUCGCGAGGGUCUGUGGAGCGAUUGGAAGUGCGAAUGCUGACAUGAGUAGCGAUAAAGCGGGUGAAAAACCCGCUCGCCGGAAGCCCAAGGUUUCCUGUCCAAGGAUCAUCCGGGCAGGGUUAGUCGGUGCCUAAGACGUAGCUGAAAAGCGAAGCCGAUGGGAAACGGGUUAAUAUUCCCGUACCACCAGUUGGGAGCAGAGCAGGGACGGAGAAGGGUAGGUCAGCCAGGCGCUGGUAGUCCUGGUGCAAGCCUGUAGGGAGUGCUCGUAGGAACAAAACGCGGGUGCAAUCUCGAGAGGUGAUGCCGUGGUCUUCGGACCGAAGUGAUUGAUCCCAUGCUUCCGAGAAAAGCUGCGGGGCUGCGAUGAUCGACUGGUGACCGUACCGCAAACCGACUCAGGUGGGCAGGUGGAGAACACCAAGG
Molecule: ribosomal RNA, 527 nt
Filed under: uncultured bacterium
Lineage: Bacteria
Description: bacterial LSU rRNA
Rfam family: Bacterial large subunit ribosomal RNA
Source: RNAcentral